GUGAGUUUGGCCGAGUGACUAGGCGAUAGGCUGCAACCCUAUCUAGGAAAGUUAAAAUCUUUCAAUUCACU
RNAcentral lists this transfer RNA (71 nucleotides) under Ralstonia phage RSP15. It matches the Rfam family "tRNA". Rfam says of the family: Transfer RNA (tRNA) molecules are approximately 80 nucleotides in length. Their secondary structure includes four short double-helical elements and three loops (D, anti-codon, and T loops). The record is from Rfam by way of RNAcentral. Lineage: Duplodnaviria; Heunggongvirae; Uroviricota; Caudoviricetes; Pantevenvirales; Ackermannviridae.